Molecule: ribosomal RNA, 387 nt
Filed under: Samia ricini (Indian eri silkmoth)
Lineage: Eukaryota; Metazoa; Arthropoda; Insecta; Lepidoptera; Saturniidae
Description: partial 12S ribosomal RNA
Source: RNAcentral
UAAACUAGGAUUAGAUACCCUAUUAUUAAAAAAUUAAAGAAAUAAUACUAAAAGAGUAAGUAAAAUUUUAUUGAAACUUAAAUAACUUGGCGGUAUUUUAGUUCAUUCAGAGGAAUCUGUUUAUUAAUUGAUAAUCCACGAAUAAAUUUACUUAAUUUAUUAUUUUGUAUAUCGUUGUUUAAAAAAUAUUUUUUAAUAAUUAAUAAUAUUUUAAAUUUUAAAUAAAAAAUUAAAUCAGAUCAAGAUGCAGAUUAUAAUUAAGAAUAUAAUGGAUUACAAUAAAUUUAUUUAUUAUGAAUUUUAAGUAGAAUAAUUUAAUUGAAAGUGGAUUUGAAUGUAAUUUUAUUUAAAUUAAUAAGAUGAUUUAUAAUUAAAAUAUGUACAUAU